RNAcentral lists this long non-coding RNA (39450 nucleotides) under Capsicum annuum. Its description in RNAcentral is "long non-coding RNA (CANN_LNC012937)". Lineage: Eukaryota; Viridiplantae; Streptophyta; Magnoliopsida; Solanales; Solanaceae. The record is from RNAcentral.
AAAUAUACUCCUCUGCUCAAAAUACUCUCAAGAACUCAAGCUAGGGUUUCAAUUUGAAGACCCAAAUCCCAUCAAUCGAAAAACAUAACUCCUCAUUUAUCUUCAAUAUCAAAAGAAGGGUUUCUCUCAAGAUCAUAACCUAUAACAAGAAUCAAAUCCUUCUUAAAGAAUAUAUGAUAUUCAAGUUUUUCAAACUCAAGAGCCAAUUUAUUUUCUCUCAAAGGAACAAGAACCCUAGUCAAGGAAUCAAGAACAUAUCUAAGAAUUUCUUCAAGAAUCUUCCACCUAAGGUAUGUGUAGUGUUCAUUCACGGAUUCCUUUCAUUCGUAGGAGUCCAAGAACCAUACUUUAAAUACUAUAUUGUGAUUGUCUUGUUGGGAUAUGAUCAUGUACAUGUUGAUGGUUGUUGUUUAUGCUUCAAGAUGUUAAUUUAGGGUGAUUCUCAUGAAGUAUGUGUGCUUGUAGUUAAAACUCAUGAAAUUGGGUGGUUUAAGAUGACUAAAUUAUUAAGAACACCUAUACUAUAAAGUGUGCAUGUAAGGUGUUCGACGAAAUGCCUAGAAUAGGCAUAAUCAUGUUUUCAUGAUUUAAGAGUGCUCAAUUAACAAGUCCUUACUCCAUGUUUUAUGAUUUCACGUGAAUUCCAUGUUGUGUGAAUAAAGUUCGAAUCUUUACAUGUUAUUCAUGAUACCAUGAUAUUUUGUGGAUUCAAUUGGUGGAAUUGAGUUGAAUUAUGGUGUUAUGGUGUAUAAAAUUGAUCAUUAGGCCUAUACCCUAAAUAGUGCAUGCAAGGUGUUUGUUAAAAUGCCUAAGUGAAGAAGAAUUGAGCACUUUGACCUCUUUGUGAUCUAAAUGAUAUUCCAUGCCAUAUCCAUGUGCUUAAGUUAACUCCCAUGCUAAAGCUAUGCCUACCAUGUGUUUGAUAAUGUGCCUCAACGAAUAAAUGAUGAUCAAGUACCUAAUCUUCAUGCUCAAAGAUUUUUCCAUGUCUCUUAAGUUAUGCCAUGUCUACUUGAUCAAGAUGAUUUCUAUGCUAUUAAUGUGCUAUGAAUAUGUUGUUGGCUUGUCAUGAUAUUAGAAUUGACCAUGAUAUUAGCUAUAUGAAAAGGUUAUGAAAACCACAUGAUUUAUGAAUUCCCCGUAGAUGCUAUAUUAUGGAUUGUUAAUGUUAGUCAAGUACUCUUGUAUGUCAAGUCAUGUCAGUUUCCUUCCAUCGAGUCCUAAGGGUAUUCGUACCCAAAAAAUAUAGCUGUGUGCCUAGAGCCAUGUUAUAUUUUCAUGAUACUCUCAGUCAAGCCCUGUUCAGUAGACUUCAGUCAGCUAACAGAACUCAGUAGCAUUUAGUCAGUUAACAGAAUUCAGUAGUGUUUCGCUAGUCAUCGGAACUCAAUAAACUCAGUCCAUGUUCAGUUUAGUUAAACAGAACAAUCAGUAACAGUUCAGUUAAUUCUAGUAUAAACUAGGAAAUCAGUUUAGUAUAAUCAGUUCAGUGUCAUUCAUUUGGGAGUAGGAUUCAGCACCGAGCGAACCCAAGGAUGGGAACUCACCUGCCAGUGCAGGGUGUGAUUCUUAGAAGCAGCCCUUGCAUUCCAGAACUAUGUAGCCAGCAUAGGUUGAGACAUCAAUACCUGUCAGUUGAGGGUAGAUGAGGUGGAUUAACCUGUCAGAUGAGGGUUCCCACCGUUCUCAUUAGAGUACCUGCCAGAUGAGGGUCACUUUCAGCUUGUCCUUGCCAGUGGAGCAGUAUUGACAUCCUUCCAAUCAGGGUAGAGAUUGGACCCCAGCUUCGCUAUUAUAGCGUAUUUGGGGUAUGUCGGUUAGAUAACUACUUCCCACAGUUUCAGUAUCAGUCUCAGUAAAAGAACUCAGAUAGUUCUUCAGGAUAUCAGGACUGUCAGAUACAGUCAACUCAGAUACAGUACAGAACUCAGCUAGUUCCAUCAGAUUUAGGACUGUCAGAUACAGUCAUUCAUGUUAUUAGUUAUCAGAACUCAUGUUAUCAGAUAUAUCAGUUAUCAGAAUUCAGAUAUCAUUCAUGAUAUGUUAUCGGUAAAUACCUGUCAUCAGUAUUCAUACUUAGUAGUCAUGUUAUCACGAGCUCAGUUUUAGGACUGUUAUAUACGGUCAAUCAAAUCGGUUAUUUAUAAUUAAACUAUCAAAAAUAACCAUUUCUUUAUCAGUAAUAUAGUAUCAGUCUCCCAAUAUUCAGUAAUACAGUAUCAGUUCCUCACUUAUUAGUGAAUUACAUAUCAAUAUCAGUAAACUCAGUCAUUCAGUACUCAAUAUCAGUAAACNNNNNNNNNNNNNNNNNNNNNNNNNNNNNNNNNNNNNNNNNNNNNNNNNNNNNNNNNNNNNNNNNNNNNNNNNNNNNNNNNNNNNNNGUAUGUAUGUAUGUAUUCUCACGUUCAUAUCAGUCAGCAUUGUUCAUGCAUAUAAAACCCUUUGCAUUUAGCUUACCUCACUCGUAUACUCAGUACAUUCAGUCGUAUUGACGUAUUUGCUCUAUGGUGUUUUAUUUGACGCCAUAGGUACAGAGACACGAGUUUCAGAGCAGCAGUAGCAUUGUAGAUUUCAGGAGUCAGUGCUCCUCUUCAUUCGAGGACAAUAUUAUUAUUACUUUAUUACAGUAUUUCAGAUUAGUUUUUCAGUUCAUGGAGUUAGUUGGAGACAUAUUCUUUCAACUCCUUAUUCAGUUCAGUUAAAGAUUUUUGGACUAGAUGUCAGAUUAGAUGUUUAGACUUUAGUAUUUAUGUUUCUUUUUGGUAUUGUUAUACCAUAUUUUUUAGAUACGUAUUAGUAUUGAACCUUAUGGCCUUACAGUUCAUGUUUCCGCAUAUUUUAUGAGAUAUUAUGUAGUUUAAAGGUACAGAUAUCAGUCAUAGGUUAGCUUGUAGUCCUUCGAGGUCAUGAGCACCGUGUAGCAUUUUGGUUCAGAAAAUUGGGGCGUUACAAACUUGGUAUCAGAGCCUAAGGUUCAACAGUGUCCUAGGAAGUUUGAAAGCUACAUCAAGUAGAGUCUUGUACAUGGGCGUGUUGUGCACCACACUUAUGUGCAGGAGGCUAUGAGAUAUUUUAGGAAUUGUUUCCCUUCUUUCAUGCCUCAAGAUUGUGCUAUAGCAAGUUUCUCUAAGGAACCCAUGUAGAUUCACAUCAGGCUCCCCUCAUGUCGACCUUACCUUACUUUUAAGAUAACAGAAACAGUGAAGCUCAAGUCCUAAAGAUAGGGCUUUCUCAUGCAGUCCCUAGAGACAAUUAUGGAUUUGCCAUAUGCUCAGACAAUACCCCCUCAAUUCAGUCAUGUUCCAAAGUUGUACAGAUUUUAUUUAUGAUCAUGAGAACUCCUUUGUAAACUCAAAUCCAAUUUUUGAUAUGCUGUUAGAUCCCUUCUCUGAAUCCUAUAACAGUAUAGACCUAGAAUUUUAAGCAUGGACCCAAGAGUUUAGCAGUAGAUGAGUUGGGAUAGUAUUAUCUAGUCUGAUUAGAUUAUGUAUUCAUUGGGAUAGUUGUACCAAGGUAAAUCAGGAGGCUUGAAUACUGUAAGCUAGAAAUUAAGUUUAUUUACUUGAAAUUAAGCAUGAAGGUGUAGAUGUGAUAUUAGUAGUAUAUGAGGAAACAGAAGCAGCUGAUGUGUUUAGUAGGAUGGGCAGGAGUCGAAUAGAGUAUAAGUAUGCGAUGAUAGAUUAAGAGACCAAGUCAGACUCUCAGAUUCCAGCAGUAGUGCCAGUAUGUAUAGAAAAACAGUAAGGGAAGACGAUUCCUAACCCAUCCUCUUCUCAGUACAAAGAUUUGUACUUCAGCUAUCACGAGAUCCACUCAGGUCUUAUAUAUCAAAUCUAUGGUCACGAACUACGAUUAUGCACUUUUCCAUAAAUCAUGUACGGUUUUAGUUCCCAGUAUAAAGGAUCUCAGUUUACCUCGAAGUACGAAUCAAUUCUAUGAACACGACUUAUGUUCACACGUUUCCAUAGAAUCGUGUGCACUUUUAGUUCCCAGCAUAGGAAGUUAGAUCUAAAUCACUCAGUGUCACGAAUCAUGUCUCAUGAAUACAAAAAACUCAAAACUUAGGUCAUGCAGCUCAUAACUCAUGUACACAUAUCAUGUUUUACAGUACACUCUGCUUUCAUGACUCAUGCUAUGCCCCUACAGAUCAGAUAAAUUCAUACCAUGUCAUGUAUAUUAUCAGUUCAAACCUUUUUGGUAAAUCCAUGCUUAGCUACCUCAUGUUAGUCAGUCAGUCCCUUCUCGUAUGCAUAAUACUCUAUGGUCUCCUUAUAUUCAGACUAAGUACAAUUCAGUCUUGUAUACCCAGUAUUCAAUUACCAGUUAUUAAGUUAAUCAGAUAAGUUAUUAUAUUUAUGCACUCGUAAUCAGCUAAGUUCAUGCAUCAUGUCUCAGUUUCAGAUCCCAGCUAUUAAUUCACAAUUCUAUUCGUAAGUGCCUUGUACACCGCCUUAGGUUUCCUUAGUAUCAAUUACAACCUCGCACAAUUACUGAUGUGUUUUGCACCUUUUCCUCAAUAUUUUCUUCUGAUGUGAGAUUUUGAGUUAGUGAUAACAGGUAAUCUUCACAAACAUCUCUGUCUUAUGAUCAUCAAGACCAACAGUCAAUUACAGUAUCUUUGGAGGACAUAACACUGGACAACAAUUUGCUUUUACAGGGGUUUAUGGUCCAUGUAAUAGAAAGCUGAGGAGAACUCUAUAGAAGGAACUUGUUGCUAUUAAUGGUAUUAUUCUACAACCAUGGGCUGUUGGAGGAGAUUUCAAUGUGAUAAGGUUUGCGGAGGAAAAAUCUGGAGCAGCCAGAAACACCAAACAAUUAGAGAACUCUCAAAUACUAUUAAUAAGCUUGAAUUAAAAGAUCUUUCUCUUCAUGGUGGUGAUUUUACGUGCUUCAAGGCUGGAUAGUUUUAUUAUUUUAGAGAGGUAGGAUGAGCAUUUCAAAUGCAUCAAACAAAGAGUUCUUCUCAGAACCACCUCAGAUCACUGUCCAAUUAUUUUAGAAUAUGGUGAUUGGGGAAAAAGAAAAAAUAUACUUCAAGUUUUAGAACAUGUGAUUUGAACAUAAAGAAUUCAUUGAUUUGAUCAAAAACUGGUGUGAUUCGUAUGCAGUUGUAGCAGAACCUGAUGUGAUCCUUGCAAGAAAAUUGGUUUUGCUUAAAGAAGACCUAAAAAAGUGGAACAGGGAGGUGUAUGGAAAGUUGGAAGAAAGAAAAAAUAAAGCUUAAGUUACACGGGAGCAGCGAGACCAUAAUAGACGGAAUAUUUCUCUUGAACACCAAGCAAAAUUUGAGGCAUAAAGGCCAUCGAUCAAGAAGUAGAUGGAAGAGGUGGCAAAGGCGAAAGAAAUCUCUUGGAGACAGAAGUCUAGAUGCUUAUGGAUAAAACAUAGAGAUAAAAAUACUAAAUUCUUUCAUAAGUAGGCCAAUGCUCACAAAAGAUUUAAUAGCAUUGAUAAAUUAGUUAUUGGAGAGGAGCUAGUGGAGGAUGAGCAGAACAUUAAAGUCCAUAUUUUGGACUUCCAUAAAAUCUGUUCAGUGAAUCAGAAUCUUGGAGACCCAACUGGGAGGAUGAUAGUGUUAAGAGGUUGUAAAGUAAAGAAAAGGAAUAGAUAGAAAGGUCUUUCACAAUGGAGAAACUGGAAGAGGUUAUAAAAACUUCCAAAGGAAAAAAGGAUCCUGGACUUGAUGGAUUUAACCUAUUUCUCUUUAAAAAAUAUUGGGAGUAUUGUUAAAAUGGAUAUUUGAAGAGCAGUGGAUGCUUUUUACAAGAAGGGAUCUUUUGUCAAGAGCUUGAAUUCUAUAUUCAUUACUCUAAUCCCUAAAAAGAAAAAAGCGGUGGAGGUCAAAGAUUUCAGACCUAUUAGCCUUUUGGAGAGUGUAUACAAAAUCAUAUUAAAGCUUCUGGCAGAAAGACUUAAGAAAGUUAUCAAUAACUUGAUGUCUCCCAAUAAAAAAGCUUUUAUCGAAGGAAGGAAAAUUAUUGAUGUUGCAACGAUAGCUAAUGAAAGUCUAGAUAAUCUGAUAAGAAGGAAGAAAAUAGAGGUGGCGUGUGAGUUGGAUUUAGAAAAGGCAUACGAUCAUGUCAAUUAGUAGUGCCUAUUGAAUCUUCUGAGGUAGAUAAACUUUGGUGAGAAAUGGACAGAAUGGAUCAGAUUUUGCAUCUCAACGGUGAGAUUUUCCAUCUUAAUCAAUGGUGACGCUCAAGGUCAUUCCAGCUCUUACAGAGGCUUGAGACAAGAGGGUCCUUGUCUCCUUAUCUAUUUGUUAUAGUAAUGGAAAUUAUCAUUACAAUGUUAAGGAAAGCAGACUGCUUGGGUUGGUUAAAAGGUAUAAAGACAGGUAGAAAUGAUCAGGAAGGCAAGAUGCUUAAUCAUAUUCUUUAUGCAGAUGAUUCUCUUCUAUUUUGUGAGGAUGAUAGAGAUCAAAUUUUGUAUAGGGGUUCUGUCAUGUUUUGAGGCAGUCACUGGCUUGAAAAUUAAUCUGGCUAAGAGCAAAAUCUUUAGUAUUAAUGCUGAUGAUUAUGUUGAAAAGCUGGCAGACAUUUUAGGGUGUAAAGGUGAUAAAUUCCCCCCUACUUAUUUGGGGCUUCCAUUAGGGGUGAAGAAAAGGGCAAAAGCAUCUGGUAAGGAGUUGUUGAUCAUUGUAAUAAGAAGCUGACUCCUUGAAAAAAAAAAAACAUUUGUCAUUGGGGAAGGCUUACGUUGAUUAAUAGUUUCCUGGAUGGUUUGCCUAUAUAUAUGAUGUCUCCAUUUAAAAUGUCGGUAGAAGUUUAAAAGAAGUUGGACUCCAUUAAUAGAAAAUUAUCAUGGAAUGGAAAUGCACAUAAGAGAAAAAUUCAUUUGGUGAAGUGGCAAGUGGUCAUUGGAGAUAAGAAAUCUAGGGGUUUCGGUGUGAGGAAUCUGAAAAUGCACAAUAGAAGACUACUUUUUAAAUGGCUAUGGAGUUAUAGUCGAACAAGUAUUGUCAAAAAAUGUUAGAUGCAAUAAAUGGUGAAAACGAGGGAUGGAAACAAAAUCCUUCACAAUUGAAGGUUUGUAUAGGAAUCUAGAGAAAAAUAAGUGAAGAAUGGGAGGAGUUCUUACAAUAUGCAAGGCUGGAGGUUGGCAAUGGUGCCAGAAUUAAAUUAUGGACUGAUACUUGGUGUGGAGACGAAAGUUUUAAAAGCAGAUUUUCAUAUUUGUUUAGAUGUGCUUUGAACAAAGAGGGUCCCGUUAUAAAUUUCUAUCAAGUUUCAGGCUGGCAUAUUACUUUCAGGAGAAACUUGAAUGAUUGGGAAGUGGAGAGUUUCUGCCAACUAAUGCAACAAUUGAGCACAUGCUUAAUAGAUAGGGACAAAGCUGGCACGUUAGUUUGGGUCAAUAACAGGGAUAAAUUAUUUUCAGUCAAAAGUUUUUAUAAAAUGUUGUUAAAACAGAAUAAUCAAGGGAUUCUAACUGGCGGUGGAAAAUGAUCUGGAGAACUAAGAAACCCUUAAAAGCAACUUGCUUUGGUUGGUUAGCAGCCAGGGAUGCUUGUUUAACGAAAAAUAAUCUGCAAAGGAGAUGAUGUUCCAUGUACAACAGAUGUUUUCUUUGUUAUAGGGAGCUGGAAACGGUUGAGCAUUUGUUUCUUCAUUGUAGAUUCUCAAGACAAUGCUGGGAAUUGUUUCUUAUCAUAAUAGGUGUGGCCCUCGUUAUACCACAGAAGAUCAGCAGUCUGUUGGAAGUUUGGCAAGCUCAAAAGGUAAAGAGAAGUAUGAAACAAAUAUGGAUGAUUAUUCCCAUUUGUAUAUUUUAAACUGUUUGGUUGGAAAGGAACAAGAGAUGCUUAGAGGGGAAAAGACCACAGAUUGCUAGCUUAAAAAAUAGAUAUAUCAAAAACCUAUUUUUUGUGUUAUUGCAGCAUUGUAGAUAAGAUGGACCAAUCUUUGGAUUUUUUGAAAUUUUUAGGGGGUAAUAUGUAGUAUGUAUGUGGAGAUGUUGUAGCUUUGUCUUGUACUUGGCUUUGUACCAUCUUGGUACCUUCUGAAUAAAAAGUUUUACCCAUAAAAAAAAAACCAUCUGUUUCUUAUGGCCUUACUUUUACACUAUUCCCUGUGAGGGCUUUAAAAGCACUAGAGCAUUAACGGUAGGUUCAUAUCCCUACUUAUGUGGGACACUUAAUAUAUUGUAUACCUUAACUAUCUAACAAAAAAAGGACAAUCCAGUGCACUAAAGUUCCCGCUAUGCAUAGGGUCUGGGGAAGGGCCCCACCAUAAGGGUGUAUUGUACGCAGCCUUACCUUGCAUUUCUGCCAAAGGCUAUUUUUGAGGCUUGAACCUGUGACCUCCUGAUCACAGGAAGCAACUUUAUGAGUUACUUCAAGGCUCCCCUUCAACAAUCUAACAAACAAUAUAACUAAAAUCUAUAUGAAACUUUGCAAUGGGCGGAAGGUGUCAAAAGCUAAAAUCAGGCAAAGAAUCUUGUUUUGUUGUUUCAUAUGAGUAUAUACAAAGAAGAAAGGUCUUUUUGAGAUCUUGUUUGGUUGAUUCAUUGUCAAAAUAGGUGGGUUCUUCGGAGGCAGUUAGAAAUUGGGCUAUGGAGGCACGAGGUGUAGAAGGUGGCAUGAAAAUUUCUAAGGUGGGGGGCUCACAAUUCCUCGCUCUAUUUGGGAAUGAGAAGCAGGCUUCUUUAUUCUUCUAGGAGGAAGGAGAUGGCUAGGAGGGAACUAUGUGAGACUAGAAUAUUGGAAAGGUGGUGUUGGGUGUGUUAAUCCAUUAUCAUUCAGUAACUCUACAAUCAUAAACUUGGUGGGGUUACCGGCACACGUGUGGUGCUAUGAUCUCUUUAAGAAAGGGAGAUCUAAGUGGAGGCUUUAUGGUUGUUGUUUGUAGCAUGCAUGAUCUGACAAGAGUGAGGAUUUUAGUGAAGAAAGGCGGCAAAGUUCCAAUUUCAGCGGUAGUUGAUGAUGGAGUUUUGAAUCUGGAUGUUUCCAGAGUUCAGACCUAAGAUGAGGUUGAGGGAGAGAAAAAAUGAGGAUGAAGGAGGAGAGAAGGGGUGGGAGGGAAAUGUGAGGGUCUUCUAGGAGGAAAAGGUUGAUUCCCAGAGUUCCUUAUCGAAAAAUAUGGGUUUUAAGUCUGUAACUGUUAGGAGGUCAAAGUCAAGGGUUUUCUAAUUUAGGGCUGAAGGAGUAAUGGAGAAAAGACAUUCUUACCCCUGGUUAAAUGAAAAUGUUUAGACACACAAUCGGAAGAAUUAUCGGCUACCAAACCUCAUUGGUGGGACAGAUGCAGUGAAUAAAAAAUGCACAAAAAAACCCUCCGUCACCAAAAAAUAGUUAGAAUUUGAAAAGAACACCACCAAAAGCUUCGAAGGUGUGUCGUGAGUCCCUAGGAAGAGUUUGCUCGAAAGGGGAGGCAGAAACUCACCUGAACUCUAUGCCCAGCACCUUAACGUCAUCUCUUUAUCGGAAUUCUAACUCUGGCGACCUUUCUUUGAUUGGAUCUAGGGUGGGUCAAACUCAGAAUUCUAUUUUUAACGGGUAAGAUCAGUUUAGAGGUCCAACUAAGGGAGGAAUAUGGGUGCAGCAGCCUUCUAAGGCAGUUUCGGUGACCUCGCCAGCACCAUAAAUGACUGAAAUUACUGCUAGUGGUUCGGGUUUGAUAAAUCAGCCCAGCUCUUUUGUUGUUUCAAACAGGGGGGAGAAAGAGGUAAUUAACGGUAUCAGUGGUGACGGUAUCAGUGGUGUUGUUGUGGAGUUUCUGGUUAAUUCUUCGAAACCCAAAAAUUUCAAAAUUCUUCCUAGUGGGGUCUAAACUGAUUUCAGUUGCUUGGGGGUAGGUGGAGAUGGGGUUGAUAUGUUUGUUGGCUCUUGAAAUGGGGUUUCCCACUAGAGUGAUGGCUCAAUUAAGGAACAUGGUACUGUUUUGGAAGGAACAAAAGAGGAAAGUUGUAUGUCCAAAUGGGCUGAAGAAAAGUUUCUUAAUUUUAGAAAACUUUUGGGGUUGUCCUUUGCUGGAAUGGAGGAAAAAGUUAUUGAGCUCUUGAAUAACAUUGAUCUAGAGGCUACAGGGGAGGUAGAGUUGGUGACUAAGGACUUGCUAGAAAAGAAAUCUAUGGUGGAGGUACAAAAACUAAAGUGACAAAUUGUGGUGUAUAGUAGAAGAAAUAAAGUGAGGAUGGAGGGAAUAAGUUGUUGAUGGAUUGUAAAAUCAUUAGCUAGAAUGUGAGGGGAUGAAUGACCCAAAUAAAAGGGUCAUCAUCAAAGUAGGUUUUAGGGAAUGAGGGGAUGAUGUAAUAUGCACAGAAACAAAAAUGGAAAUCCUAUCAGAUAGCAUUAUUAGAAGUGUGUGGUGAGGAAGGUGGGUGAAGUAUGAUUAGAUUCCAGCCUGGGGAAGUGUGGUACGAAUUCUCAUUCUUUAGGAUAACAAGAAAUUGAUGAGUAUGGAGGUUAUCAAAAGGAUGCGGUUUAUAAACACUAGUAAUAGCAUAGAGUAGGGUUUCGGGGGCUUUCAUGGACUUGUGGGGGAGCGGUUUAAGGAGAUAUUUUGGGAAAAAUUAGGAAUUGGGAUGGGUAGGUGGGAUAUACCUUGGGUGUUAUGGGGGAUUUCAAUACCAUUAUAUAUUCGGAGGAGCGGUUUGGGUGUAGUGUAGUGUCUAGGGCCAUGGAAGCUUUCUCAAAAUUCAUUAACAAUUUUCUCUUAUUGAUUUGCCUUUAUCAGGUGCCUCUUUCACAUGGUCCAGGGCAUAGGAUUCUUCUUCUAAAUCGUGACUAGACAGAUUUCUUGUAUUUACUUCUUGAGAGGAAUUGACUCCCCAUAUAAUCUAGUUUUCUCUCUCACGAUUGAUUUUUGAGCAUUGGCCUUAUCAUGUUAGAUGAAAGCAGAGGAAGAUGGAUGAGACCUCCUUUCAUAUUUGAAAAAAUAUGACUAAGCGUGUCCAACUUUACAGAUAGAGUGGUGGAUCAUUGGAGAAGUUACUCAGUGGAGGGGAUUCCGUGUUAUAGGCUAGCAAAGAAGUUGAAAUUGCUUAAAAAGGACAUAAGGGUGUGGAAUAAAGAGGUGUUUGGGAGGGUAGAAGUGAAAAUAAGGAAGAUGACAAAUGAAUUAAGAGAGAUAGAAAAGGUAGAAGCUAGGCGUGAGUUAGAGGAAAGGAAGAGGGAAAUGAAAGAUAGGUUGAAAAAGGAACUAGCUGAGUUAGCUUUGGCUCAAGAAAUUAGCUGGAGGCAAAAAUCGAGAGCAUUGUGAUUGGAGGAAAGAGGACUCAAAUACAAAAAUUUCCAUAAGGUAGCAAUUGCUAAUAGGAGAAGAAACUUCAUUGAGUUGAUAGAGUUAAAUGGGGUGGUGCAUAUGGGGAAGAAGAUGUAGAGGGAGCGAUUGUAAAGUUUUACAAAUGGUUGUUUAAAGAGAAAGCAAUUUGGGGGCCUAAACUGAUGGAUUUAGAGUUUAAUCACAUUAGUGGAGAGGAGUGUGCGUGGUUAGAAAGGGAAAUUUAGGAGGAGGAAGCAAAAAGGCAGUAGAGUAUUGCGCAGGUCAUAAAGAUCUGAGGCUUGAUGGUUUCUCUUUGGCUUUUUUCCAGCAUUGCUCGAGCAAGGUCAAAAAUAAGGUGAUGGCUACUAUUGUUGAGUUUCAAGAAAGAUGUGAUUUUGAAAAAAGUUUAAAUGUUUCAUUCAUCGUCAUCAUCCCUAAGCAGGAUGGAGCCUCAAGCAUAAAAGACUAUAGGCGUAUUAAUCUAGUGGGAAGCAUCUAUAAGAUCAUCUCUAAGGUGCUUUCCAUGAGACUUAAGAAGGUGCCAAACGAGACUAUAUCUACUUUACGGAAUGCUUUUGUGGAGGGUAGACAGACUUUGGAUGCAUUUUUGGUAGCGAAUGAAGCAGUAGAUUCAAGUAGAAAGCAAAGUGUACCAAUUGUAUUGUGCAAGCUAGAUAUGAAUUGGCGUUUCCUAGAUGCCAUUAUGCUACAAAAAGGAUUUGGGAGAAAUGGAGAAAAUGGAUUUAUUGCAUCUCUUUAGUUAGAUAUUCUGUUUUAGUGAAUGGCAAUCCUUGCGGAUGCUAUUAUGCUACAAAUGAGAUUGAGGAGAAAUGGAGAAAAUGGAUUUAUUGCAUCUCUUUAGUGAGAUAUUAAGUUUUUGUGAAUGGCAAUCCUUGUGGUUUUUAUGGUGCUCCCAUGUUGUUCAUCCUAGUAAUGGAACUAUUGAGCAGCGUAAAGAGAUCAUGAAAGGCUUCAUAAAGGGUUUUAGUGUUGCAGUUGGGGUGUUGGAACAAUUUUAGUUUCUCACUUGUUGUUUGCAGAUGAUACUUUGGUCUUUUGCAACGCAGAUAGGACCCAACUGGAUUAUUUAGGCCAAGUCCUCACUUGGUUUCAGGUGGUAUCAAGCCUUAAAAUUAAUAUGAGGAAGUGCAAUAUCUUUCCAGCAGGACGAAAUACUCAACUCAUGUGGUCCAUAAAUGCAGUUGGGGCAUUAGUCAAACCAAAGGACGUCAUCAAAAACUCAAAAUGAUCAUACCGGGUUUGAAAAACAGUCUUAGAGAUAUUCACUCCCCUAAUCUUUAACCGAUGGUAACCCGAUUGAAGAUCAAUCUUGGAGAAACACUUAGCACCCUGAAGCAGAUUGAAGAGAGCAUCGAUCCUAGGAAGCGGAUAGUUAUUCUUCACCGUCACCUUAUUUAACUGGCGGUAAUCUAUACACGUCCUUUUUAUGCACGAAGAGAACCGAAGCACCCCAAGGAAAAACACUAAGGCGAAUAAAACCCUUAUCUAAAAGAUCUUUCAACUGCUCCUUGAGUUGUUCAACUCAGCCAGAGCUAUUGACACCCAAUUUUUUCCUUCACAAUUAAAUUUAAUCCGGAGUUUCUUCGAUUUAAAAUAAAAUUAAGAUAGUUAUUUUAUUCUGAUAAAAUCUCUCCAAAGUAUCUAUCUAUGUAAUUUGGUCAUUUUAAGUAACGGUUAUAUAUUAUCUUGAUCAAUUAUACGAGAUUAUAUAAUUUGUUUACUUAAAUAUUUAUUCCAUGGAAUUUCAGAUUUUUAUCAAAAUUUACUAUGAAAAGGAUUAAAAUCUUAAAUCUUGAUUUAAAUGGAAUUCAUUCUAUAAAGAGAUUUAUUUGGAUGAAUACGUGUUUGAUUUUAUCAAAUCAAGAGGCUCGGGAUCAAAAUAAGGAUUUAAUUCGCAUCAAAUUUCGAUUUAAUUCAGCCAAUUUAUUUUUGACCAUAAAGAAAACCAAAUUGGCCACAAUUGCAAUGCAAAUUGACCAAUUUAGUUUUAAAUUUUUGAUCAAAUCUAAUUAGAUAAUUUAAUCCUAAUUUGGGGUUAUUUAACCCAUUACCAACCCAACAAUAAUUAACUUGUCCCAAUUCAAGCACAAAAUCCCAACACUAAAUCUGCCUAUCCCCGCUUUAGCCCAUUCCAUAAAAUACCCAUAUCAGGCCCAACAGACUAAUGACCCAAGCCCAUCUUUAAAUCCUCUUUCCUCUUAUAUGCAAAUAACAGCGAAAGCAUGAAUAACCGCGUACAAACAUCAACAGUUGUACGCGCAAAAGCUCCAACCGAAUCAACAAUUUCAAUGACAACAUCUCUAAUUAUCCUCUUUUCAUGUUAAAUUUCAACCAAAAUGAGCUGCCAUCAAUUCAAUCACUCCAAAUCUACCAAAAUCUUAGCUUUUGUAGGUCUAUCACCCCAAGAUGAAGAUUUUUACUCCUUUUCCCUCUUGUUCUUGGUUUGAAUUUUGAAUUUGGAGUUGUUAUGCCUAUAAAUACAACCAUUAUUCAUUCAUUGAGAAAAAAAAGGAGAAAGAGAUUCAUCAGAAGAAGUUAUCAUCCAGUUCACAUCACUGUUUCCUUCUUGUUUUCUCAUUUUCUUUUCCGAUAUCGAAGUUUGAGUUCAAGUUUAGAUUGCCGACGGAAAUCCCCUUAGUUCACUGCCCCGAAAAAGGUGCGAACUUGCUCCCUUUUUAUUUCAUUUUAAUUUUCUUUUCCUAUAUCUAUUUUGGAUUCUAUAGACAUAGGAAUUGCCUUGAUUUCAAAUUGGUGUUGUUCCUGUUGUUUUUGGUCUUGUGGUUAAAAAAAAUAUAAAUAAUUUUAAUUUUGAAAGUUGUUUUGUGUAUGAACAUGUGAUUCUGUGAAUAUGUGUGUAUAGGGGUUUAUCGCUCUUUUUUUUAGUUUUUAUUUCUUCAUUUUGAUGUGAAUCGGAGGUGGUCUUGUCAGUAAAUCCUAAUCCCAUUAUAUUUUAUUUUGAUAAUUCGCUGAUUGUUUGAGUUUGUCGUUUGGCUAAUAUUGGACAUAAAGUAUGAAAUGAAUUGGAGUUGGUCGUUUUGUUGGCCGGUUAUGAAUGCAAACUUUGAAUAUAAUCAUUUAUCGUUUUCUAGUUGGGAAGCUAGAUGGUUGGUUUAGGACAUGGAAACAACAUACAAAACUAGUCUCGUUCAUUUUAGUUUAUAUUGUAGGUUCUGUAUAUUUCAGGUUCAUGCUCUUUCCUAUUUUCUUACGUAUAACCAAUUAUGGUUUCAUAUUAGGCGGUCCGUAUGUUAUUCUGCUAUGUUUCUUUAAGGUAUAAUCAAUCUUGCGGGUUAUACUAGCACUUUUACAUAAAACACAAAUUGUGACUUGUUAAGAAUUAUCCAUGGUAUUUUGCUUAGGUUACGGCAUUGUGUGAAACAAAGCUAAGUUUCUCGAGAAAAUUGAAGGAAAGGUGCCUUUUAAGUCUUGAAUGAAGGAUUGAUGACAUUGACCAACAGAUAGGUUCAAACAUCAUUAGAAAACUUGAUUAAGUUAAUUUUGGACUUGAUUAAUAUUUUCAAAACUUUCUAAUCUUUUCAAAAAUAUAAAUCAACCUAACCCAUACCCCUCUUUAAUCCAAAUCAACCAUUCUCUCUCUCUCCAGCUUCUCUUAACUCUCUCCCAACCAACAGUUCUGCAAAAUCUCUCCUUUCAACCUCCGGUGACAAAUAAUCGAACGAGUUCCUUUUCAACUUUCAACCGUCAAUCGAUGUGAAUACUUCUCCGGCGAUAACAACUUCGAGUUCUUCGUCCUCCCAUUUCUUUUUUCACAAGUAAAAAAUUAUGAAGAAACAGGGAAACUUGAGCCAACUACUCUUCUGGUAUUGAAAUGUGGACUGAAUAAAAUCCUAAUUUCUGGGAUUUCUGCAUUUUUUCUUCUUGUUGUCGUACUGUUGAUUCAAAUUUAUUGGUAUUUUUUAUCACAGUUAAUGUUCUCUGUGUAUGUGUGAUAUGUUGGUGUUGCUGGGUUGAUUUGUUGUUUGUCUUGGUAGAAAUGGUAUUGCAACAGUUGAAACAUCUGAUGUAAUAGAUGAAACAUAUGAAGCAACAGAUGAAAAUCUGAUGCAACAGUUUAAAAAUCUGAUGCAACUAUGAAAAUCUGAUGCAAUAGGUGAACAAUGUAACAGAUCCUUCAUCUGUUGCGACAGAUGACUCUUCUGUUUGGAAUAAAUCUAAACAGUAUUGAUCCAACAGAUAACUGAUUAGUGAUCUGUUUUUAUUCUUUCCAAUGGUUUACUCUUCAUUUUACAAUAGAUUAGGACUAUUUUUAUUCUUUCCAACGAUUACUCAUCCGUUGCAACUGGUCGGUUAUCUGUUGCAACAGAUAACAUACGUGGUGCAACAGAUUAGUUGUCUAUUGGAACUGUUAUAUUACUGUUAUGCACUAAUCAAUUAUAAUCUNNNNNNNNNNNNNNNNNNNNNNNNNNNNNNNNNNNNNNNNNNNNNNNNNNNNNNNNNNNNNNNNNNNNNNNNNNNNNNNNNNNNNNNNNNNNNNNNNNNNNNNNNNNNNNNNNNNNNNNNNNNNNNNNNNNNNNNNNNNNNNNNNNNNNNNNNNNNNNNNNNNNNNNNNNNNNNNNNNNNNNNNNNNNNNNNNNNNNNNNNNNNNNNNNNNNNNNNNNNNNNNNNNNNNNNNNNNNNNNNNNNNNNNNNNNNNNNNNNNNNNNNNNNNNNNNNNNNNNNNNNNNNNNNNNNNNNNNNNNNNNNNNNNNNNNNNNNNNNNNNNNNNNNNNNNNNNNNNNNNNNNNNNNNNNNNNNNNNNNNNNNNNNNNNNNNNNNNNNNNNNNNNNNNNNNNNNNNNNNNNNNNNNNNNNNNNNNNNNNNNNNNNNNNNUGUAUGAAAACAAAGAUAAGAUGGAUGAGGUGUGGAUAAAUUACUGUGACAUGCCUGUUUGUUUUGGUUGGGAGGAGUUUGUCGUAGUUACCGGACUAAAAUGUUAUCCUCCUUCUCCUUCUCAAGUUAUACCUACUCUGACCCAAAAAAAGCACCCCGCACACCCAAAAAAGGAAAAGGCAAGUCGAGUAAUCGUGAUGACUUGGUGUCCAUUGUUGGUUCAAGCUUCAAAAACAAAAAUCUGAUUGAAACGUUGAAAGGUAAAGGACUUUCAAAGAAGCACAAGCAAUCAUUGUGCUUGGUUUGGUUUGUACAUAAUGUUCUUUGGGCGAGAGACUUUAACAACAACAUAAGCCUUGGUUUAAUAAAUCUGUCCGAGGAUCUUGAGGCAUUUAACAGCUAUCCUUGGAGUUAUGAAAGCUUCAAAAUGACUGUCGAAUAUUUGUUGACUCCGUUAACGUCAAAAAUAGUCAACUUAAAUGGUUUUCCAUGGGCCUUCAUGAUAAAAAUUUCUUUUAUCCUGAUAUGAUUCAUCAUUUUUUUAUUCAAUAAUGCUUUUGAUUUAUUAGUGUUAUGUUAUAGGCUUGGGUAUUUGAAGUCAUUCCUUAUUUGAGACAACAAGUGAACUACCAGGAAGAAGUUUCCUGUCCAAGAAUUCUGAGAUCGUUGUCGGCCAAAACCAAUAAAAAUGCAAAAUUUCUUGAUCUUUUCAAUCUUCCAAGGAAGCAGUAAGUACAAUUCUAAUCGAAUUUUUGUUUUAAUUAAUGAUUAAAUGAUUUCAUCAUCAUUCUUAAUAUAUGUACCGAUUUAUUUUAGAUUGUCCAUCUGUGGCUUGUUCUGACCAAAGAGAGUUGAAGAUGCCAUUUUUUUUACUUUAUAAUCUGUGCAAACUUUAUCGGACCCUAAGUUCGUUGAUGGAAUAAAAAUGGAAUUGUUUGGAGCAACAGCCAUCACAAGAAAAAUAAUUUUCGUGGGUGGGGUAAUGAUGCUCCUCUUAUAGUUUUUGAAACAACAAGCCAUUAUGAUUAUGAUCAUAAUGGUUGUACAGAUUUUUCUCCAAAUUUUGCCGCAUCUAGCGAAUGUUCUUCAUGAAAAUGUCAAGACUGUAAGGCGAAACACGAUGGAGUGAUUAAUGCUAUUAAUGCACUAACUGCUUCUGUAAAGAAAAUGACAUCUAAGAGGGGUGUCAUUCCAUCAAAGAGGAUUUUAUAUCCAAACACUCCACUAGAGAUCAAGGCGGCUAAGAGGAGAAGGAAAGACACUUCCAAGGCAUCAUCAAUCAUCAAAAAAGCAAGAUUGCAAUGCCUCUAUCUUUGUCUUGCACCGAUGUUCAGUGUGCAAGGGCCACAAAAGAGCAACAUGAGCUGAAGAAGGUGAAUUUACAUCAUCUAUUCCAAAAAACAAAUAGGCACAUAUCUGUUUCAACAGAUGAUACAUCUGCUGAAAAAUAUCAAACAGAUGUAUACAUCUGUUACAACUGUUGUCUAACCUAUUGCAUCAGAUUCAUUAUCUGUUUUAACAGAUGAGUCUUAUGUUGCAAUAGAUGGGUCAUCUGUUCAAAAUUAUCGUACUACUCUGAUUUACCUGUUCGAAUUUGUCCCAACAGAUAGUCCAUCUGAUGCAACAUAAGACUUAUCUGUUACAACAUAUAGAAAAUCUGUUGUAUAUCUCUACUUAGCAUUGACAAUUCUUAGUUUUUAGGUGGAUUUCACAGCUACUGCCGAAGAGCAUAAUAUGAUAGUUGAUAAUGUAUCAACUAUUAAAAAAGAUGAAGAAAAAAUAGAUCCUAUCAGUUUGGGAGAAUGGAAGAAUUACUCGUUUGAAGGGUUCAACAUCUCGGACAAGGAUCUAAAAAAACUAACACAAUUGAUCAACGACUAUUCAGAAUGGAUUGUCGAUGGGCUGUUAAAGCAUCAUGCCGGCAGGUACAUAAAUCAAUUUUAUGGAUAUUGGUUUAUACAAUUCUUGUUGUAAGAACCUGACAUUAACAUAUAUAAAUCAUCAUGUAGAAAACAAAAUGACGAGCGCUAAAAGUGAACGAAUCGAGUCUUGGUUUUGAUAUGUUCGACUUUGUUGUUGCACUUUCCAGAAUGAAGAAUUGGUUCUAUUUGAUGUCACGGCCUCAAACUUGCUGGAAUGAUGAGGUUUAAAUACCAUACAUAUUACUAUUAAUUAAUACUUUAUUUAAUUGCAUUUGCGUAUUGAUUUUUCAUCACGUAAUCCGAAAUGUUUGAUAAUAUGUGCAGUACAUCGAUGUCAUUUUUUACUACCUCCAAAAGAAGGCCAAGUUACAAACACAAGAACAAUACAAAUACAGAACAGGCAAUUGUUUGUACAAAGUUUACAUAAUAAUGCCUAUGAUAGGUAUUGUCAACAACAGCCGAAAGUUUCUCGAAACGUGGAAUGCUUAAUCAACAUCAUCAAAGGUUUUAGCAUUCCGGCUGGCUUACCUUGCAUUUGGUCGAUGAAGUAUACAUCCCAAUCAAUUAUAGUGAUGAAUUCCAUUGGGUGUUGGCUGUCAUCAUUAUAAAAGAGAGGCGCAUUCGAGUUUAUGACUCGAUGUCGCGAAGGAGACGUUCCAGGCCAUCGUCUGAGAUACAAAAGAUGGCCAAAGUAUUGCUAACUUACCUUGAUAUGAGUGGCUUUUUGGAUCAAAAGGUUCGUACUGAUUGGUCGACGAUUGAAGCAUACUGGGAUAAAAUGGAUAAUCCAUUUAAUGUACAAUAUGUUGACAGAAUUGCUCAACAAACCAUUGGUAGCCUGUAAGUUUAAGUGUCAUGAUUUAGUUUCAUUUUACAAAUUUCACAACGCUUGCAUGAACUGCAAGAUAUGGAUUAUCUAUUUUUUUAUAACACAGGGAUUGCGGUCCUUUUGUUGCUGCCUAUACCGUGUAUUUGAGCGAUGGAUUACAAGUACCAAAUGAUGGACUUGAUGCCAGAUUACUCCACAAAAGAUAUGCUGCUCUUUUAUGGAAAUAUGGAGAAGCGAAAGCUCAAAAGUUAUACGCAAUCGACGUUAAAGAUCCACGAUGACCGAAGUCGAAUUCCAUAGCACUGGAUAAAGAACAACUUGUCCAUAUUGAUUAGAUGUUUAUAGCUUGAGUCCGUCAAUGUAAUAACCUAUCCUCCUUGGUUUAACUUGUUGAUUUAUUUGUAGAGUAGAUCGUUUGUACUCAUAAUAAUUUUUUUUACAUUUCAUUUAUUUGUUGAGUUAUUUCAUGUAAUUUUCGAAGGCUUCAAUUUAUUUUAUUCUAUCUAUGAAUAUAAUUAAUUCUGAGUUUUGAAUAUGUUAAUUGAAAUGGAGUACUAGAUUCAAAUAUCGCAACAGAUAAUACAUCUGCUGCAAUAGAUGACAUAUCUUAUCAGAUAGAUUUAGACAUAUGUUGCAACAUGAGAUGCAAAAUAUAGGUCAUCUACUGGAAAUUAUAUAACAGGUCUUCCUACUUUUUUUUAUUUUCUCCAACAGAUUACCAAUCAGUUGCAACAGAUAAGUUAUAUGUUGCAACAGAUUGGUAAUCUUUUACGACAGACAGAUGGGGAACAUCUGCAUAACGCAACAGAUGACCAACCUAUUCUAACAGAUAAUCAAUCUGUCACAACAGGUACUAUAUCUAUUACGAAAGAUAUAAAAUCUAUUGCAUUAUAAAAAAUUUAACUUUGUCAGACAUAAAAAUUAUUGCCCCUACAUGUAUAGUGAAUUGGCUUGAAAUAAAAAUUUGUUAUCAUGUUCGUCUCUGUCUUUGUACAUGUUCUUUUUUAUACAUGGGCUCCAACCAUUUAGUUAGUACCCCAUAUGCCCAGACCCAUUACAUUUUUCCCACAACGGUGUCGCACACACCAGUUCUAUCGGCAGCAUCAUAAGCAUCCGAGUACGCUAAUUGCUUGCCCCUCAUGAGGCAAAGAAUUUUAUCAACAUACUGUGGUAUAAGAAGAUAAUUUUUGAAUAUGUUAGUAAUUGUAAAGAAUAAAAACACAGUCGAAAGAAUCCGAUGCAGAGGGUUCUCUGAAUCAGUUCACAGAUUACCCAGCCAACGCAACUUAUGCAACAGAUAUGUAUUAUGUUACAAUAGAAUACCAAGUUUUUGCAACAGAUUACACAUCUACUGCAUAGAUUCUUCUUCAUGGAGUAGAUUGGAAGGGUAGGUUAGCAAAAGUAAACUUACCUUGUCCUCGUACCACACGCACAUAUUUGUCAUAUUCGAGAAGUCUUUGGCGGCAAAUGAAUGCAUGGUGUAUUCUUUUUUAACCUUCAUCUUGAUGAAUUCUUCCAGUUCCUUCUUCUUCUCCUUGCCAAGCACAGCGAAUAUGUCCACCUUCUUCGGCGGCCCCUGAACUUCAACAACUAUUGGAGCAGGGGAAGUUGCAGUUUUGCUGAUUUCAUAACGGAGAGAAUUUAUCUAAUUUUUCUUCUCUUCCUCCUAACCUCCACUGUAGGAAUGCAUGGCUCCCUCGCCUUGUUGGAUGGUAUGACACCCCUUCUAGAUUUCAACUUUUCGACAGCUUCAGCAAUAGCCUCUAUCUUGUUGAGAAAUUUAUCUUCUCUGUCCUUGCACACUUUACAUUUGCAAUGAGAACAUGAGGGUGAAGAGGGGUGAGAGGGACCAUUGUAAGGGUGGGAAGGACUGGUGUAGGGGUGAGAGGGAGGACCUUUGCAAGGGGUGUUUUCAAACAUAUUUAUUUUUUUAGAGCACCAACAUGCUCAUAAUCACGAUUGAAAGCAGAAGCAGUAGCAGGAUGGCUGCCACCAUCUCAAAAAACUCCACCAGCAACACCCCCAGAAGAAGCACCCGGAUCUGUUGCAGUUUGAGUUUGGUCGUGAAGAGCUUCAACAUUAUACUGACCUUGCCUAACUGCUCUUCUUAUGGAUAUUUCUCCAUCCAAUUCCUUAUUUAUUAACUCCACCAUUGGGUCUUCUUUUGUAUCAACAAGACCCAGAGUAAGAAAAGAAGUCAUCCCCAGCUCAUCAAUGGUAGGCACGAUCCAAGGAUGCACAACCUAUAAAAAAACAAGAGGAAUUUAAAUCAUAUAAUAAUAAUUUGUAGUCAGUUGGGUACAUGGGGCUCGGGUUAUGUUAACACAACCAACUUAUGCAAUAGAUGAUCUAGCUACCGCAACAGCUGAUCUGUAUGUUGAAAUAGAUUGAUAAUAUAUUACAUCAGAAUACCCAUCUGUUGCAUAAUUUGCAGUAGAUGGGUAAUCUGUUGAGUAGGGUUCAGAGACCAGAGCAACAUAUGGUUAAUCUGCUAUGGAAUAUGGAUCGUCUGUUGCAACAGAUUACCCAUCUGUUACAUCAGUUGUAGUUGACCGAUAAUCUGUUGCAACAAAUGGAACAUCUAUUUCAAUAUCUAUCUUUGAGGCAAAUUAUUUUAGUUGAAAGAAUAUGUACUAUAUCAUCUGGAAGGUUGAAGAGAUCAGCCUCAUUAAUAUUUAUUUUGCUGAUCUCUACUGCAACCAACCACCUAAGGAUCCUUGGAUGAGAAACCCUAUCCGGGUAAUUCGUGAAAUGCUUUCAGAGAGGUGGAAUGGCUUCACAAGCCCAAGCCUAAAAAUUGUAAAUAGAAAUCAAGCAAAAAAAAAAACUCACAAUUAUAUUCAAUAUAAAUUAAUGAAUGAGUAAAAAUAGUGAUCAAUUUUACCAUGAAAGCCCAAGAAGAGCCGUAUAAUGUAGUCGUCUUUGGCUUUAUCUCUUUCAGUAAAUAUUUGACAGUCAAGUAGUAGCUGUCGUAGCCCCAGGGAUAAUCGUUGAAUUUUCCAAAAUCAUCAGCAAGCGACAAAAAAUCACAUUCUAUACUUUUUUGACGUCUCUUGCCAAUAAAAUGAAAUGGACAAACCAAACUAAGCACAAUUUCUCCUUGUAGUGUUUUGGUAUGUCUUUAUUCUUGAGAUCCGCUAUCAAAUCCUUCACUUUGUAGCUAGGUCCAACAAUGCCCAACAACCCAUAUAUUUUUACCUUGAGUUUGUUGGACCUUUUGUAGGGUGUUUUCUUGGUGGCAGGUUCUUCUGGACGAUUGCAUCUCAAAACCGUCACAAUGGCAAACUCUUUCAAUCCAAAACAAACUGGCAUGCCGCAGUAGUUGAUCCAGACUUCAUCCAUCCUUUUUUUUGCCCUUCUUUGGACCUCCAUCAUCCCCCGCAUACAUGAUCCUGCGCUUGAGAAGGCCAUAUACCAUGAUCAUUAGGAAACGAAGAGGGAGGGGCCCAGACAGCUCAAGAAAGUGUGCAAAGUAGCUCUUUUUAAAAAGGCCAUCUAUGUUUUCCUUCUUCAUAAUACUUCCAAGUUCAUCAAAAGAUUUCCCCAACUGACAUUUAUGUACAAUAUCACCAAAUACUUCUUUAAGGUUAUUCAUCGGCAUCGCAACUCGAAACUUGUCAAUACUAAUGGUUUUGACAGAAUCAUGCUGGAAUUUUGAUAUUAUUUCACGCCCCAUUGGUGAGGAGGAGUUAUCACUUUCCUCAGCUUCAUUUUUCCCUGACUGAGAUUGUUCUGGAAGUUUCUCCGAAUCUAUCUGUACUCUAGACUUUGUUGUUUGGUGAUCGAAAGUUGAUCCACUUUCUUCACUUUCUGUUUCUUUUCUUUUGGGAGACAUCUUUUAACUACAAACAAAAGAAAAAUGAAAAAUACAUUGCAUUUGAUGUCUGCAUAAUUUUUUUUAAAAAGGUAAGACAAAUUUCAAUAAAUUAUUCUUACCACAUAACCAAAAAAAAUACUCGAACGGACAACCCAUCAGUUAGAACAGAUGGAGAACCCGAAUCUGUUUGAAGACCUAUUUAAUAUCUCCCCAAAGAUAUUCCAUCUGUUGCAAUAGGUGGAGAAAUUUCAAUAAAUUAUUCUAUGCCACAUUAUAGGAAAAUAUUCCAACGGAUAACCCAUUAGUUGGAACAGAUGGGGAAUUUUUUUGAAGACCUAUUUAAUAUCUCCCAACAGAUCUUCCACCCAUUGCAACAGAUGGACCACCACUACCACAACCAAUGCCACAACUAAUACCACCAAUACCAACACCAAGACUACCGACACCACCGUCAAAAAAUGCAAAUACCAACACCAACAACAACAGACACCAACAACACCACAAAUACCAUCCAACAAUACCACGAUAGUCAACAAAACACUGAGACAAAAAAUAGGGUUUUCUCGGGUGCUUCCUACUUUUUUACCAUCAAAACUCAAAAUUGUUAACCUAUUCUCGGAGAUAAAACAACUAAAAGUCUACUUAUUUAUUAUUAACUAAAAAUCCCUUUUUUUUAGAAUAAAGAACAAAUGUAGACCUCUUCUUGAACUCUGUUACAUGUGAAGAUAGAGAAAACAAUGGUUACAAGCGGGAAUGAAGUCAAAAAACACAACUAUAUGUAGUCAUAAAUGGGAAGAAAAUUGACCUGUUUUGAAGGGUUGAGCAAUAUGUUGAGUAGUUGUUGUUUGUAUUGUUGAGAGGGAGAGGACACCGAGAGAGAGAGAGAAGAGAGAGAACUUAAGAUGUGAAAUAAAAAGUUUUUUGCGCAAAUGGAUGAUUUGUAUGGGCUGAUUUGUAAUUUUGGAAAAGAAUGACAAGUUUUGAAAUUGCUAAUUUGGUCUGAAUUGAUCUUAAUUAAUUUUAAAAAUUUUAAAAGAUAUAGUUUUUAAAACAUUGAGUUGAUGAGAACUCAUUUCAACUCAGAGUGAUCGAUCAAUGACUCGGAUCGGUAUGAACGCAAUACCAGCGCCAUGCAAUUGCAAAAACUCGAUUGAAUUUGUAGUUGACCCUGCAAGCUCAUUCAUUCAUUCCGAGUUCCACCUAAAUAAACUUAGGUACUAUCACUAUCCUAACAUUGAGUUGAUGAGAACUCAUUUCAACUCAAAAAGAUCGAUCGACAACUCGGGUCGGUAUGAACGCAAUACUAGCGUCAUGCAAUUACAAAGACUCGAUUGGAUUUGUAGUUGACCCAGCGAGCUCAUUCAUUCAUCCCUAGUUCCACCUAAAUCAACUUAGGUACUAUCACUAUCCUAACAUUGAGUUGAUGAGAACUCAUUUCAACUCAGAGUGAUCGAUCGACGACUCGGGUCUGUAUGAACACAAUACCAACGACAUGCAAUUGCAAAGACUCAAUUGGAUUUGUAGUUGACCGUGUGAGCUCAUUCAUUCAUCCCUAGUUCCACCUAAAUAAACUUAGUUACUAUCACUAUCCUAACAUUGAAUUGAUGAGAACUUAUUUUAACUCAAAAAGAUCGAUCGAUGACUCGGAUCGGGAUGAACACAAUACCAGAACCAUGCAAUUUCAAAGACUCGAUUGGAUUUGUAGUUAACUAUCACGACCCAAAUCGGGGGCCUGGCCGUGAUGAGCACUCCCGAACUUGAAGGCCCAGAACGCCCUGUGUCUACCUGGUAAUCAUGCACAUAAUUCAUAUGAUCAAAGUAAUACGGGUUAGACACAAUAAUACGGAAACAUGGUCAACAAUCUAAAAUAGUUAAAGGCCUAAAAACAUGCCCAACAAUAUUUAAUAAACAUCUGCAACAGUCUGCAAAAUCUCUACUGACAUAUUAUCUGAAUAACUGGGACAAGGCCCCCAGCAGACCAAAAAUCAUACUAAAAUAAAUACCUAAAUGACUAGGCCUUCCGAAGAAAAGAAGGAUCACCAACUAAACUCUAAGACAACCCUGUCUGUAGAAUCUACUGAGGAUUUGGACCCCUAGACUGUGCCUCAGUACCUGGGAAGAAGGGGGGUCAACAAAAUUGUACUGGUACGCGAAGCAAUCAAAAAUAGAAUAAUUGAACAUACAUAUAUAUAUAAUACGUGAGAGCAAAUUUUUAUCAAACAGUAUGCAUAAAACAGUUUCUGAAAACACAUGGGCAUCUUCUGAAAACAUGUAACCUGUCUGUAAAUCUUAAACUCUAAUCUGUGUAUUACUUCUGAGUUAGGUGGCAUCCCCUACAAGUCUGAUAUUCCAUGGGCGAUAUGGAAUCCCCUACAACCCGAGUAUGCCGCAAGGGUUGGAGUUCCUGAAUUUGAUACGCCACACGAUACUUAAGUCAUCUUAUAAUAAUAUACCCGGGUCGACAAACCACGGUUUUAGGCAAUGAGUUGCUUGAAAUCAAGCCCUCUUCAGGGAACCACCUAACAUCUUUGUAUGCUCAUUUUUAACCUAUUUUAUACAUACAACAUUCUGAAUGUCUAAAAUCAUGAUAGUCUGAAAUGUUUAUUAGUCUGAGUCUGAUAUGGCAUUGGUCUGAAUUGGUAUCGUCAUACCAAGACUUGCAAGUCAUGAUUUCUGAACCAUAAUACAUUAAGCUAAAUCUUUCAUAUAAAGCAUAAUUUAUACCAUCAAAAAUAUGCAACUGAUAUAGAAGAUUUCGCAUUUCAAAACUCAACUUAAAAUCAUGCAAAAACUUCAUCAACAUAUGGUGGUCUAGUGCCUUUAGAAAAUUUAUGCACUCUUUCAUUACAUGCAUUAUGAACAUAAAACAUUCAUGCUAGAUUCCCUCUUUAGUGAUUUAAAACCACCUUUAAAUCAUAACAAGAGUUCAAUCAUUUCAUAUAGUGCUUUUCAAGGAUGCAUUGCAAAACAAUUCAUAUGCUAUGAGAAAUCUGAAAAAUUCAUAAUAAGAGGAAAUUCACCAAAAAUCAUGCUCUCAACAAGAAUUCAUUCUUAAAUACAUGGUUUCAUACAUUCAUAUUCUCAAAUCAAUUUGGGGAAGUCAAAAGACCAAAACAAUGAUGUUAAAAUAUUUAAUACAUGAAUAUAUACAUAGAUUCAAAAACUCCAUUCUAAAACAUGAUUUUUCUAUGCCCAUGAGAAUUUAGGAAAAUCCUGCAUACUUCUAUUUCGAAAAAUAAUGGGUGCUUCUUGAAGUCUGUGGAUUGGGGAUUCUGAAUCUCUAAUCAAUUUUGAAAAUCCAUGGAUGAAUCUUGAUUUAUUUGAGUUUUUAGUUUGAAACCCUUGGGAGUGCUCUUGAGAAUUUUUAGAUGAAUGUGGAUGUAUUUUGGAGAAUUGGGGAUUGAAUUUCGUGUUUAUGGCUGAAUAAGGGUGGGAAAGGGACUAUUUUGCCCCAAAAUUGAAUGUUUAACUCACUUGAAACCAUUACAUAGGCUGCGCAUAUGAUAUCGCCUAUAUUUACAUAGGCGCUGUAUAUGCUAUCGCCUAUAUUUACAUAGGCGCCAGGUAUUCUAUCGCAUAUGCUUUCCAGUGGCCAUGUGCGAUUGGUUAGGCGACGCAUUCUACUUUGAAAGGCCAUAACUUCCUACUCGGAUGCUGGAUUUUAGAAAAUUGGUAUCGUUGGAAAGCUAACAUAAAAACCUAUCAUUUUACAUAUAGUAGGCUCUCUAAUUCGACAUAUACAAAGAGUCAUGGUCGAUAGAAGUUAACAAAAAUUAUAAUGUCCACUUAAACUUAAUCGAUCGAAGUAAUUUUCAACUCGUCCUUGAGUCAAAGGACCUCUUUGGUCUAAAUUCAAGCUUGAAUGGUUUCACAAACUACGCAAAUAAUUAACAUGCCAUAUUAGCAUAGGAUUUGUGGCUUCAGGAUUAUCAACGCAUCGAAAUCAUGGUCUAUAUUGUAACCUAAAAUGCGGGGCAUUACAUUAUCCCCCCCUUAGGAUCAUUCAUCCCCAAAUGAUGAUGCGGGACACAGACAGAUACGAUUUCAAGCAUAAUAAGGUCUAGGAAAGAUAAGAUAGGAAUAGUACCUUCUGUCUCAUCAUCCAUCAAAGCAAACAAAUUGGGAUCUCUAAUUCUCAUGUCAUCUUCUGACUCCCAAGUUGCUUCUUUAACUUUUUGAUUCCUCCACAAUACCUUCACUGAGGCUAUCUCUUUGCUCCUUAACUUUCGAACUUGGCAAUCUUAAAUUUCAACGGGCUCUUCUUCAUAAGACAAGGAAUCUGUCACUUUAAUAUCCUCUACUAGAAAUACCAAGGAAUGAUCUCUAAUGCAUUUCUUCAACAUGGAUACAUGGAAUACCGGAUGAACGAAACCCAAACUUGCAGGCAAUUCUAGCUCAUAAGCAACUACACCAAUCUUUCUCAGAAUAUGAUAUGGCCCUAUAUAGCAAGGGCUUAAUUUAACCCUUUUUCCAAACCGCUUAACUUCUUUCAUAGGAGAAACCUUGAGAAACACCCAAUCACCAACUUCAAACUCUAAUUCUCUUCUCUGAACAUUGGCAUAGGACUUCUGACGACUCUGAGCAGUCCUGAGUCGUUCUCAAAUGAUAUUCACUUUCUCCAUUGUCUGAUGAACAAGAUCAGGCCCAUACAACUGAGUCUCACCCACUUCAUACCAUCUUAUUGGAGACCUACAUCUCCUCCCAUGCAAAGCCUCAAAAGGAGCUAUCUUGAUGCUGGUAUGGUAACUAUUAUUGUAAGCAAAUUUAAUUAGUGGAAGGUGAUCUACCCAAAUACCUUUGAAAUCAAUGACACAUGCCCUCAACAUAUCCUCGAGGGUCUGAAUGGUACGCUCAGGUUGCCCAUCCGUCUGAGGGUGGAAAGUUGUGCUCAAAUUCACUUGUGUACCUAAACCCUUCUGAAAAGAUCUCCAGAACAGAGAUGAAAACUGUGUACCUCUAUCGGAUAUAAUGGACACUGGUUCCCUAAGCAACCUAACUAUCUCCUCAAUGUAAAUCUUAGCAUAACCCUCUCCCGAAUAAUUAGUCCUCACAGGCAAAGAGUGGGCUGACUUUGUCAACCGAUCUACAAUCACCCGUAUAGAAUCAUACUGGUUUCAGGAUCUCAAAAGUCCUGUAAUGAAGUUUAUGUUUAUUAUCUCCCACUUCUAUAAAGGCAGGGCUAUCUCUUGGGAAGUACCACCUGGCCUCAUGUGUUCUACCUUCACUUGUUGACAGUUCAAACACUUGGACACGAAAUCAGCUACAUCACGUUUCAUGUUAUUCCACUAAUACAAGGUUUUCAGAUCAUGGUACAUCUUAGUAGAGCCUGGGUGAACGACAUACCUCAAAGUGUGCACCUCAUCAAGGAUUCUUUCCCAUAGUCCAUCAAUAUUCGAAAUGCACAACCUACCCUGAAAUCUCAGAAUACCAUCACCACCAAUUUCAAACGACAUAACCUUUUGUUGACCCAUAUCUUUCUUGAUUUGCAUCAAGAUGGGAUCUUCAACCUGCUUAUCCUUAACUUCAGUACAAAGGGAUGACUUAGAUAACUCAUGAACAAUUACCCCUCCAUCUUCAGAAUCUAAGAGUCGCACUCCUAGAUUUGCAAGGAGAUGAAUAUCCUUCACUAUCUCUUUCUUUCCUUCUUCUACAUGAGAAAAGCUGCCCAUAGACAACCUACUGAGGGUGUUGGCUACAACAUUUGCCCUUCCCAGAUGAUAAUGUAGGCUCAUAUCAUAGUUUUUCAGAAGCUCCAUCCAGUGCCUCUGCCUGAGGUUCAAUUCUUUCUAUGAGAAAACAUACUGCAGACUCUUGUGGUCAAUGAAGAUAUCAACGUGAACACCGUACAAGUAGUGCCGCCAAAUCUUAAGUGCAAACACCACAGCUGCUAACUCCAAAUCAUAAGAGGGUUAGUUACGUUCGUGCACCUUCAACUGCCUGGAUGCAUAAGCCACUAACUUACCAUACUGCAUCAACACACAAUAAAGUCCCACACGAGAUGCAUCACAGUAUACCACAAAGCCAUCUACACCCUCGAGAAGGUUCAAAACAGGAGCAGUGGUCAGUUUGUCUUUCAAGUUCUCAAAAAUAUUCUCACACAGAUCAUACCAUACAAACUUCACCUUUUUUUGAGUCAAUUUAGUGAGUGGAGCAACUAUGGAAGAAAAACUCUCUACGAACCUUCUAUAAUAACCUGCCAAAUCCAAGAAGCUAUGAAUAUCGGUUGGAUUCGUGGGUCUGGGCCAUUUUCUCACUGCUUCAACUUUCUGGGGAUCCAUUCUUAUCCUGUCACUGGACACAAUAUGCCCUAAGAAGGUAAUAACAUCUAAUCAGAAUUCAUGCUUAGAAAAUUUGGCAUACAGCUGAUGAUCCUUAAGGGUCUGAAGAAUAAUUCGGAGGUGAUUGGCGUGAUCCUCUUUACUCUUAGAAUAGAUCAGAAUAUCAUCAACAAAUACAAUGAAGAAUAAGUCAAGAAACUAAUGGAAUACUCUAUUCAUAAGAUCCAUGAAUGCUGUAGGGGCAUUAGUAAACCCAAAGGACAAGACUAGAAAUUCGUAGUGACCAUAUCGGGUUUGAAAGGUUGUCUUGGGUAUGUCUGACUCCCUAACUUUCAACUGAUGAUAACCCAAACGAAGGUCUAUUUUUGAAAAACACUUGGCACCCUGAAGCUGGUCAAAAAGGUCAUCAAUCCUAGAAAGAGGAUACUUAUUUUUAAUCGUGACCUUAUUCAGCUGACGGUAGUCUAUGCACAUAUAAAGGUAACCAUCAUUCUUUCGCAUGAAAAGUAUAGGCGCGCCCCAAGGAGACACAUUGGGGCAUAUAAAACCCUUAUCUAGGAGAUCUGCUAACUGUUCUUUUAACUCUUUUAGUUCUGUAGGAGCCAUUCUAUAUGGAAGAAUAGAAAUAGGACGAGUAUCUGGCAACACAUCAAUACCAAACUCAAUAUCCCUAUCAGGUGGUAUUCCUGGGAGAUCAUUUGGAAAGACUUCUGGGAAUUCUUUUACCACAGGAACAGAUUGAAGAGGAAGACUCUCAGCAUUGGAGUCCUUAACUCGGAUAAGGUGCUACAAGCAACCUUUAGAAAUGAGUUUGCGGGCUCUGAGAUAGGAUAUAAAGUGCCCUCUGACUGCUAAAGAAUGUCCUUCCCACUCUAUCACUGGUUCAUUCGGGAAAGAAAAAGUGACCCUUCGAGUCCUACAAUCUAAUGUAGCAUAGCAUGAAUGGAGCCAAUCCAUUCCCAAGAUAGCAUUAAAAGUAACCAUAUCUAACUCUAUGAGAUCUGCUAACGUAUCCCGGCUACCAACAGUCACAACACAACCCCUGUACACCCUCCUAGCAAUAAUAGAAUUCCCCACCGAGGUGGAAACAGAAAAGGGUUCAGAAAUCACACUGGGAUCAAACCCAAAACCAACAGCCACAUAAAGGGUCACAUAGGAUAAAGUAUACCCAGGAUCAAGUAACACAUAAACAUCAAGGGAAAGGAUUUUUAACAUACUGGUAACAAUAUUUGGGGAAACUUCCGUCUCCUGGCGAUUGGUCAAAGCAUAUAACCGGUUGCGACUGUUCCCGGUAGUUGAUGUGGCGCCCUUCUGAGGUGGGGGUGGUGCUGAAGAAUUUGCCUGAGACUUUGCACCACCAAUAUUCUUUCUAGCAGAUGGACAUUCCCUCUGAAAGUGACCCGGCUGACCACAUAAUAACACACUAACGAGCCCAACUGACACCCUCCCGGAUGAUUUCUACCACAAGUCUCACACCGUAGAAAAGUAUGAUGCUGCUGAGUCACACUACCCUGAGUGAGUAUCCUGAGCUCUGGUUCCAUGGUUAGUCUGAAAACUCUGAGAUCGUCUGUCUGCUGGUGGUCGGGGUACUGGAGCGCUGGCAGUAGACUGCACAUUACCCCAAUUCUUCUUUUUCUGCCAUUUAUUUCCCUACUUACCACCCUGAGGCUGACUGUGACUCUGGUCGGCUGAUCUGGCUCUUUUCACUUGUCUUUCCACCUCCCUAGCUUCGAAGAUCUUCUUUUUUUUCUCUUCUACCUACUGCAUAUGAAUGAUCAGCCUAGUAAAUUCUAACUCUUUAUUCAAUAUUGCCCCUGGCACUCAAGCACCAGGUUAUCAGAAAGGCCGGAUGCAAAUUUCCUCAUUCGGGCUCUCAUAUUACUAGUCAACUUUGGUGCAUAGCGGGCUAGUUUAUUAAACUUCAAAGUGUACUCCUGGACACUCAUACUGCCCUACUUUAGAUUCAUAAACUCUUCCACUUUGGCCUCCCUUAACUCCAUAGAAAAGAAUCGAUCAAGAAAAGCUUUCACAAAUUCGCCCCAAACGGUGGGCUCAGCACUCUCACCUUUUGCAUCCUCCCAGUCGGCAUACCACUGAUUUGCAAUAUCCUUAAGCUAAUAAGUUGCUAGUUCCACCGCUUCAACCUCAUCCAUAUGCAUUACCUUAAAGAUCUUUUCGAUCUCAUCCAUGAACUCUUAUGGAUCUUUCUCCACCUUAGUGACAGUGAACUUAGGUGGGUUAAUUUUGAUGAAAUGUACGACCCUAGUAGCCUAAGAUGUAACAGAUGCAGACCCAACAUCUUUUGAUUGUUGAGCCUGGUUAGCUACCAAUUGUGUCAGCAUAUGAAUAGACCAUCUAAAUUUUGCAUUUGAAAUAUCUCUCUGAGCAGCCGGGGGAUGGUUGACAUCAGUCUGUGGAGCCCUAGGUGGAUUGGUCGGGAUUGGAGAGACUCCCGGAGUAGGGACAGGUUCUGGUGUUUGAGAUCUGUUAUGGGUCUGCAUCCCAUGGGUGGGACAGACCUCAUCUGCCCGAGCAUUCUGAUUAAUGAUACGACGUGGAGGCAUAACUGUGUUUCUAAAAUACAAGAGAUCAUUGAUUAGGGGACAAUUCAGACUCUGAAUCACAAACUAAAUCACAAAGAAGGGAAACCUUUCCUAAAUGCCUAGUAGCCUCUUGCUUAUAAGUGUGGCGUGCUACACACCCAUAACUAAGACUCUACCCGACGCGAUUUUGCAGACACCCUGGGACCAUGAAUCAUGCUUUUAUACCAAGUUUGUCUCGAUCCAAACUAGGGCCCUAUCCAUGACGAGCAUUCCCGAACCCAAAGGCCCAGAAUGCCCUCUGUCUAUCUGGUAAUCAUGCACAUAAUUCAUAUGAUCAAACUAAUACGGAUUAGACACAAUAAUGCAAAAACACGGUCAACAAUCUAAAACAGUUAAAAAACUGAAAACAUGCCCAAUAAUAUUUAAUAAACAUCUGCAACAGUCUGCAAAAUCUCUACUGACAUACUAUCUAAAUAACUGGGAUAAGGCCCCCAGCAGACCGAAAACCAUACUAAAGUAAAUACCUAAAUGACUAGGCCUUCCAAAGCAAAGAAGGCUCACCAAAUGAACUCUGAGACAACCCUGUCUGUAGACUCUACUGAGGAUUUGGACCCCUAGACUGUGCCUCAGUACCUGGGAGGAAGAGGGGGUCAGCACAAUUAUACUGGCACGCGAAGUAAUCCAAAAUAGAGUAAUUGAACAUAUAUAUAUAUAUAAUAUACGUGAGAGAAAAUUUUUAUCAAACAUUAUGCAUAAAAUAGUUUCUGAAAACACAUGGGCAUCUUCUGAAAACAUGUAACCUAUCUGUAAAUCUCAAACUCUGAUUUGUGUAUUACUUCUGAGUUAGGUGGCAUCCCCUACAAGUCUGAUAUUCCACGGGCGAUAUAGAAUCUGCCAUUGACUCGACGGGGAAGCCUCCAACCCGAGUAUGCCACAAGGGUUAGAGUUAUUAAAUCUGAUACGCCACAUGACACUUAAGUCAACGUAUAAUAAUAUACUCAGGUCGGUAAACCACGGUUUUAGGAAAUGAGUUGAUUAAACUCAAGCCCUCUUCAGGGAACCACCUAACAUCUCUGUAUGCCUUUUUUAACCUUUUCUGUACAUGCAACAUUCUGAAUAUCUAAAAUCAUGAUAGUCUAAAAUAUUUAUUAAUUUGAGUCUGAUAUGGCAUUGCUCUGAAUUGGUAUCGUCAUACCAAGACUUGCAAGUCAUGAUUUCUAAGCCAUAAUACAUUAAGCUAAAUCUUUCAUUUAAAGCAUAAUUUAGACCACCAAAAACAUGCAACUGAUAUAGAAUAUUUCGCAUUUCGAAACUCAAGUCAAAAUCAUGCAAAAACUUCAUCAAUAUAUGGUGGUCUAGUUCCUUUAGCAAAUCCAUGCACUCUUUCAUUACAUGCAUUAUGAACAUAAAACAUUCAUGCUAGAUUCCCUCUUUAGUGAUUUAAAACCACCUUUAAAUCAUAACAAGAGUUCAAUCAUUUCAUAUAGUGCUUCUCAAGGAUGCAUUGCAAAACAAUUCAUAUGCUAUGAGAAAUCUGAAAAAUUCAUAAUAAGAGAAAAUUCACCAAAAAUCAUGCUCUCAACAAGAAUUCAUUCUUAAAUACAUGAUUUCAUACAUUCAUAUUCUCAAAUCACUUUGGGGAAGGUCAAAAGACCAAAACAAUGAUGUUAAAACAUUUAAUACAUGAAUAUAUACAUAGAUUCAAAAACCCAAUUCUAAAACAUGAUUUUUCUAUGCCCAUGAGAAUUUAAGAAAACCCCACGUUUACCUAUUUCAGAAAAUAAUGGGCAUUUCUUGAAGCCUGUGGAUUGGGGAUUCCGAAUCUCUAAUCAAUUUUGAAAACCCACGGUUGAAUCUUGAUUUAUUUGGGUUUUUAGUUUGAAAUCCUUGGGAGUGUUCUUGAAAAUUUUUAGAUGAAUGUGGAUGUAUUUUGGAGAAUUGGGGACUGAAUUUCGUGUUUAUGUCUGAAUAAGGGUGGGAAAAGGACCAUUUUGCCCCAAAAACAGAGUGUUUAAGUCUCUUAAAAUCAUUACAUAGGCGCCGCAUAUGAUAUCGCCUAUAUUUACAUAGGCACCGGAUAUGCUAUCGCCUAUAUUUACAUAGGCACCGCAUAUGCUAUCGCCUAUAUUUACAUAGGCGUCGCAUAUGCUUUUUAGUGGCCAUGUACAAUUGGUUAGGCGACGCAUUCUACUUUGAAAGGACAUAACUUCUUGCUCGGUUGCCGGAUUUUAGCAAAAUUCGUAUCGUUGGAAAGCUAAAACCUAUCAUUUUACACAUAGUAGGAUCUAUAAUUCAACAUAUACAAAGAGUCAUGGUCGAUAAAAGUUGACACAAAUUAUAAUGUCCACUUAAACUUAAUCGAUCGAAGUAGUUCUCAACUCGUCCUUGAGUCAAAGGACCUCUAUGGUCUAAAUUCAAGCUUGAAUGGAUUCACAUACUCGUAAAUAAUUAACAUGCCAUAUUGGCAUAGGAUUUAUGGUUUCGGAAUUAUCAACGCAUCAGAAUCAUGGUCUAUAUUGUACCCCAAAAUGUGGGGCGUUACAUUGACCCUGCGAGCUCAUUCAUUCAUCCCUAGUUCCACCUAAAUCAACUUAGGUACUAUCACUAUCCUAAUAUUGAGUUGAUAAGAACUCAUUUCAACUCAGAGUGAUUGAUUGACAACUCGGGUUGGUAUAAACGCAUUACCAAUGCCAUGCAAUUGCAAAGUCUUAAUUGGAUUUAUAGUUGACCCUGAGAGCUCAUUCAUUCAUCCCUAGUUCCACAUAAAUCAACUUAGGUACUAUCACUAUCCUAGCAUUAAGUUGAUGAGAACUUAUUUCAACUCAUAGUGAUUGAUCGACGACUCAGGUCGGGAUGAACGCAAUACCAAUGCCAUGCAAUUGCAAAGAUUUGAUUGGAUUUGUAGUUGACCCUGCGAGCUCAUUCAUUCAUCCCUAGUUCCACCUAAAUCAAUUGUAAUGAAACCUGUUGGAACAAACGACUAAGCUAUUGAAAAUUUUCAAACAGGUAUAUAUAUGUUGCAACAAAUGACAUAUCUAAUUUAAUUAUCAAAUAGAUAUUUGCAUCUAUUAUGACAGAUGACUGAGUUGUUGGAAAUUUUCAAAAAGAUAUUUAUAUCUGUUGUAAUAGAUGACAUAUUUGAUUUUAUUAAUUAUUAAAUGAAUAUUUUUAUCUAUUGUCACAGAUGACUGAGAUGUUGGGAUUUUUAAACAGAUAUUUAUAUCUGUUGUUUUAGAUGACUGAGCUGUUUGGAUUUCUAAAUAGAUAUUUAUAUAUGUUGCAAGAGAUGACAUAUCUGUUUGAAAAUCUUCCUCUCUUUUAAUUUUAAAGCAAGAAGCUUCUGGUCCUAUUAGAUAAGAUCAAGUAGUAGUACUUACUACUAAAGGCGGUAAAAAAUGUUUCUUGGAUAUCGUAAAAGUGAGUUCAUUGAGCAAUCUUGUCUUGUCUUUUCAAUGUCAUUAGUCUUAAUAUUCCUCGUGCCACUCAAAUUAUUAAUGAAAUUAAUGAAUAUUGAAAACCACCACGUCUACGUACACAAUACAUCUAUAGAAAUUAUCUCAUAUCUUCCUUCAGCUGCAGUUUAUUUUAUUCAACUCUCAUCUUUUUCUCUCUCCUCUUUAGGGUCACAGCCCUUUUUCUCUCUUUUAUCUUCUCUUCUCAUAAAGAUCUUUUCGGAUCUAAACCCAUCCAUAUCUUUUCCUCAACUUAAAUUUCUAUUUUGAUCCCCUUUUUGAUAUUAAGGUAUGGUUCAUUAUUGCUCUUUUAUUCUCAUCGUCUUCUUUGCAAGUUAUUUACAUCUAUUUUUUUCUUUAAUUACUAUUUACCCAUAUCAUAUUUAUUAAAAAAAUUUAAAAAAAUUGUAAGUGUUGAAUAAACAAUCCAAGAAUUUUUAUUACAAUUUAAGAAAAAAGUCAUCUGUUGAGAGAUGUUUAAAAGCCUUGUUGACAAUAUUCUUUUUUUGUAUGUAUUUUGUUUGUUUCAUUAUUAUUGAUGCAGUUAUUGAUGUUGUUGGUGGGGUUGGCAUUGUUAGAACUUGUGGUGUGGGGUUGUUGAUGGUUUUGGAACAAAGGAUGUUGCUUUUUUGUUAUUGAUGAUAUUGUUGGAACAAAUGUUGUUGUUUAUUUUUUAUUGAUGUUUAUGUUGUUGUUGAUGUUGCAACAUAUGGAGAAACUGUUGGAACAAAUAAAACCACCAAAAAGGCUGGUUUGAUGUAUUCCAUCAGACUCUACAUCUGUUGCAACAGACCCCACAUCUGUUGUAACAGACUCCACAUCUGUUGCAACAGACCACAUCUAAUGCAACAGAUGGACAAUGUUUUUUUUGUAUCAAUUUUUUUCCCUUCUUUGUAGAUAUAAGGAACUGACAGUUGAUCAAUUUUUGACGGACUAUAGCAAGAGGCUGCAGUAAGGAUGUGAUCGGAGAAAUAAGCUGCUUGCAUAUGGAACCACUUCAUAUGUGGGAGGUAUGUAUUACUGAUAAUGUUCUCGUGGAAACACACACAGAGUGCACCGAAUUUGGGAAUGAUGUUUUUACUGAUUAGUCAUAGAUCGUUCAAACAAGAUGUCUGCAAUUUUACAGUUAAGUUUGGUAAGUCCAAACUAAUAAGGCUGAGGGACCAUGAAUAUAGUUCUGAUAGCCUGUUAAGAUUUAAUGUUAGUUGUUGCUCAUGUUUAUUUGUCAAGCGUUGUGAAUGGAUCUAGUUUUUAUGUCAUUGUAAAGAGAUUCAAUAGUGAUUGGACUAACUUUUAGGGUGAAUUAGACCCUUAGAAGACCUUCGAAGCUUAGCACUGCAUCUAAUAAGAACGGAAAACAAAUAUAGUUUUUGCCCUGGCCAAAAUUUAUAUGUCUGGGUUGCUCGCUUGGGGUUAUGAUUAUAUGCCAGAAGGUGCGGUAGGAGAAUGCUUUAGAGGAAAAAUGGGUGGUUGAUGGAAGACUAUAUCAUCUGAGAGCUAAUUGAAGAAGAGACAUAGGGUAGAUACAACUUCUAAUGAAUCUGGCCGAUGGAAUUGUCUUAACAGAUGCAAAAUCUGAAUCAAGUGCAAAUAUGAAAGUGUAUCCGGUAAUGUAAUUUCAUCUGUUGUGUCGCUGAAAGAAAAACAAUACAGAUGGACACUUUGCUAAGGAGCUGUGUGGUCAGGAUUAUCACCUAGGUAGAAAAUAGGAGAAAACCAACAAAGCACCUCACGGGCAUCGUGGGUAGAAAUGAUGUUCAGCAAGUCUAGAAAACUUACACCAACAACAACUCCAGUUAAAUAAGGAAACUAACUGAAGGCAGAAAUUUCUGAAUUUUAAAUUUCAUCCCAUGCCUUCUUGUUUGUGUUUCCGAUCAGGUCCACUAUCGUUGACAUGAUCAGAACCACAAACGAGAUUGAAAGAAAAAUAAAGUAUCAUUGCUUUCCUAGAAAUAUGGUUAUAAUUGAUUGUGUUUUCUUGCCUUAGCAUGCUUUCAACAUUCCUUGGAGAAGAUAUGAUGCUUGCUGUAGUAUAUGAAUCCCGAUAAUUUUCAAGCUUGCCUCCAUCUUGUUGAUUCUGUAUUCAAGUUGUUCGUUGCUGUCUUCGAAAAUGGUAAGGAAUUCCUUAUCUCUUUUGAGCUCAAUCAGGAACACUACCUUUAAAGUUGUGGCAUUCUAGAAGCCCUUCAGAACACUUUCUUCAGAAGCCUUUAAAGGAUACAUGGAGGGUCACUGUAUUUGUUUUAGGUGAAAAUGUGUUGAUGCACAUUGAAGAUGUGGUCCCAACAGUUGAACAACACAUUUUUAUCGAGCGUUGCUCUAUGCAUCUUGCUCAACCAAUUUGAUAAAUUAGUAAGCAUGGAGUUACAUAGCGUGUGAUCUAAACCGGCUCGACCAAGCCUAUCAAACACUACGUAACUCUAAUCUCAUUACUCAAUUAAAAAAAUAUUACCGAGUUAGUGCACAAAUCAAACGAGCUCAAUCUCUCAACCUUUCUGCUGAUCGCUCUUCUCCAAUAUAGAUGACAAGAUAUCUGCUAUGCAAAAGUCUACACCGUUGCCAGAUAUGUUUGCCAAUUCUUCUGAAGGAUAUCUGUUGAUUUUUUUUAAAGAAUUGCUCCCAGACAAGCAUGUCUGGCGAUGGUGUAGACUUUUCCCUAGCAGAUAUUUUAUCAUCUAUAUUGGAGAAGAGUGAUCAGCAGAAAGGCUGACAGAUUGUGCUUUUUUUAUUUGUACACUAACUCGGGCAUAUUGUUUUGAUAGGGUAAUGAACUCAGAGUUACGUAACGUUUGAUAGGAUUGGUAGAGUCGGUUUAAAUCACACGCUACGUAACUCCAUGCAUACUAAUUUAUCAAAUUAGUUGAGCAAGAUGCAUGGAGAAAUGCUCGAUAAAAGUGUGUUGUUCAACUGUUGGGACAACAUCUUCAACGUGCAUCAACACAUUUUCACCUAAAACAAACACAGCGACCCUCCAUGUAUCCUUUAAAGGCUUUUGAAAUAAGUGUUCAGAAGGGCUUCUAGAAUGCCACAACUUUGAAGGUAGUGUUCCUGAUCGAGCUCACAAAAGACGAGGAACUCCUUACCAACUUCGAAGAUGGUAACGACCAACUUGAAUACAGAAUCAACAAGCUAGAGGCAAUCUUGAAAAUUAUCGGGAUUCACAUACUACAACAAGUAUUUGAUCUUCUCCAAGGAAUGUUGAAAGCAUGCUAAGGCAAGAAAACACAAUCAAUUUAUCCAUAUUGCUAAGGAAGUAAUUCUACUCUAUUUGCCUUUUAACCUCAUUUGGGGUUCCGAUCAGGUCAACGGCAGUGGACCUGAUCGGAAACAUAAGCAAAAAGGCAUAGGAUGAAAUUUAAAAUUUAGAAAUUGUCGCCUUCGCUUAGUUUCCUUAUUUUAACUGCAGUUGUUGUUGGCGUAAGUUUUCUAGACUUGUUGAACAUCAUUUCUACCCUCGAUGCCCAUGAGGUGCUUUGUUGGUCUUCUCCUAUUUUUUACCUAGGUGAUAAUCCCGACCACGCAGCUCCCUAGCAAAGUGUCCAUCUACAUUAUUUUUCUUUCAGCGACACAAUAGAUGAAAUUACAUUACCGGACACUUCUAAGAUUCAUUAAAAGUUGUAUCUACCCUAUGUCUCUUCUUUAAUUAGCUCUCAGAUGAUAUAGUCUUCCAUCAACCACCCAUUUACCCUCGAAAGCAUUCUCCUACCGCACCUUCUGGCAUAUAACCAUCACCCCGAGUGAGCAAUCCAUCCAUAUAAAUUUUGGCCAGGGCAAUAAAUAUAUUGGUUUUCCGUUCUUAUUUGAUGUAGUACGAGGCUUCGAGGGCCCUAUAAGGGUCCAAUGCACACUUAAAGUUAAGUCCAAUCACUAUUGGUUCUCUGCAGUGACGACAAAUAUUGAUCCCUUCUCAAAACUUGACACGCAUAAAUGAGCACCAACCAUCAGUAAUUCGUAACAGGGUAUCUGCACCAUCUUCAUGAGGUCCUCAGCCUUAUUAAUUUCGAACCCAGCAAACUUAACGGUACAAUACAGGAUCUUUUUUGAAUGAUCAAUGCCAAAUCAAUUAAAAACUGCAUUCACAAAAACAUUGUACUUUGUAUGUGUUAUCCCAGUAACCUUAUCAGUAAUACAUACUUAACUCCCAAACAUAUGAUAGUGGAUCCAUCUGCAUGCACCUUAUUCUUCCUAGCUCAUCUACGGCCUAAAUUAAAUAAACAGAUGACUAGCUUGUUACAAUAGAUGACACAUCUGUUUAUAUUGUCAGACAAUUGGAGACAUCUGUUACGAUAGUUGAUCAACCUGUUGCAGAAAUCAGAAAUCAAACAGAUAUAUACAUCUGUUGCAAAAAGAUUUCCAGUAUAUUGUAAGUUAUCUAACAAAAAGAAUAUAUUUUGCAACAGAUUACCCAUCUAUUAGAUUUAUUUUAAAGCAAUUUAUUUUCUUUUCGAGAUACAAUAAUUUAUAAAUAGGUCCCUCUUGACAAAUAUGGAUGAUCCAGAUUCGUUCAAGAAUAUUCAUAUCGAGUCCUUGCAUGAACUUCAAAGGCAAUUUGAU